RNAcentral lists this ribosomal RNA (393 nucleotides) under uncultured bacterium. Its description in RNAcentral is "partial 16S ribosomal RNA". It matches the Rfam family "Bacterial small subunit ribosomal RNA", at positions 523 to 918 of the family's 1533-position model. The record is from RNAcentral.
AUACGGAGGAUGCAAGCGUUAUCCGGAUUUAUUGGGUUUAAAGGGUGCGUAGGCGGUUUGCUAAGCGGGAGGUGAAAUGCCGGCGCUCAACGUCGGAAGUGCCUCCCGAACUGGUGGACUUGAAUGACUCUGCCGUGGGAGGAAUGUGUAGUGUAGCGGUGAAAUGCUUAGAGAUUACACAGAACACCGAUUGCGAAGGCAUCUCACGAAGGGUUGAUUGACGCUGAGGCACGAAAGCGUGGGGAUCAAACAGGAUUAGAUACCCUGGUAGUCCACGCAGUAAACGAUGAUGGCUAACCGCUGGUUUAUUCGGAUCAGUGGCCAAGCGAAAGCGAUAAGCGAUCCACCUGGGGAGUACGACCGCAAGGUUGAAACUCAAAUGAAUUGACGGGG